UAGGGAAUCUUCCGCAAUGGACGCAAGUCUGACGGAGCAACGCCGCGUGAGUGAAGAAGGAUUUCGGUUCGUAAAACUCUGUUGUUAGAGAAGAACAGCGCAUAGAGUAACUGUUAUGCGUGUGACGGUAUCUAACCAGAAAGCCACGGCUAACUACGUGCCAGCAGCCGCGGUAAUACGUAGGUGGCAAGCGUUGUCCGGAUUUAUUGGGCGUAAAGCGAGCGCAGGCGGUCAAUUAAGUCUGAUGUGAAAGCCCCCGGCUCAACCGGGGAGGGUCAUUGGACACUGGUUGACUUGAGUGCAGAAGAGGAGGGAGGAAUUCCAUGUGUAGCGGUGAAAUGCGUAGAUAUAUGGAGGAACACCAGUGGCGAAGGCGACUCUCUGGUCUGUAUCUGACGCGGAGGUUCGAAAGCGUGGGUAGCAAACAGG
RNAcentral lists this ribosomal RNA (429 nucleotides) under Bacteroidota bacterium. Its description in RNAcentral is "Bacteroidetes bacterium partial 16S ribosomal RNA". It matches the Rfam family "Bacterial small subunit ribosomal RNA", at positions 355 to 776 of the family's 1533-position model. Lineage: Bacteria; Pseudomonadati; Bacteroidota. The record is from RNAcentral.